This 500-nucleotide ribosomal RNA is filed under the name uncultured bacterium. Its description in RNAcentral is "partial 16S ribosomal RNA". It matches the Rfam family "Bacterial small subunit ribosomal RNA", at positions 30 to 523 of the family's 1533-position model. The record is from RNAcentral.
AUUGAACGCUGGCGGCAAGCCUAACACAUGCAAGUCGAGCGGAUGAGAGGAGCUUGCUCUUCGAUUCAGCGGCGGACGGGUGAGUAAUGCCUAGGAAUCUGCCUAGUAGUGGGGGACAACGUUUCGAAAGGAACGCUAAUACCGCAUACGUCCUACGGGAGAAAGUGGGGGAUCUUCGGACCUCACGCUAUUAGAUGAGCAUAGGUCGGAUUAGCUAGUUGGUAGGGUAAAGGCCUACCAAGGCGACGAUCCGUAACUGGUCUGAGAGGAUGAUCAGUCACACUGGAACUGAGACACGGUCCAGACUCCUACGGGAGGCAGCAGUGGGGAAUAUUGGACAAUGGGCGAAAGCCUGAUCCAGCCAUGCCGCGUGUGUGAAGAAGGCCUUCGGGUCGUAAAGCACUUUAAGUUGGGAGGAAGGGCUCAUAGCGAAUACCUGUGAGUUUUGACGUUACCAACAGAAUAAGCACCGGCUAACUUCGUGCCAGCAGCCGCCGUAA